CCAUCUGGGUGCUGCGGAGAGAGGCCCUGUGUUCUUGGCUUUAGCGGUCUGGAGUAGCGUCUGAACCUGUUGAGCUGGGAGCAGGGAGAUUAACAGAACCUCUCUUUCAUGAGGGAAGACAAUUUCAUUCGGUUUCUGACCUCUGCUCCCUAGUGCCAGACCUGCCUCAGGGAUGGACACAUGAUGCAAGCCUGGGACUCAGGCUGAGUAGAUCAGUCCUCCCCUGAAUUUUACCGGCUCUAUUGGGAAAGAGGCACACUUUUCUCUGGGAUCACCACUUGUAAAGACAAUACAACGUUAAGUCUGGUGCUGUUGGUGAACAUCUUUGCCAAGAAAGAGCCUGCUUGAUAAAACAACAAGCUGGCUACCAUGUCAUAAGGAGAAGCAAUGUGAUGAGGAACUGAGGGCUCUGGCCAAAGAUAUAUAAAGAACUUGGAAGCAGAUCCUCCAGCCCUGCUCAAACCUUUUGGUGACUAAAGCAUUGACUGAACAUCUGGACUACAACCCUCAUGAGAGACCCUGAGCUGAAACCAUCCAGGGGCCUCCAGAAAAAUGAUGAACAGAAGUGGUGACAGCGGGC
Molecule: long non-coding RNA, 580 nt
Organism: Choloepus didactylus (southern two-toed sloth)
Lineage: Eukaryota; Metazoa; Chordata; Mammalia; Pilosa; Megalonychidae
Exons: 4
Source: RefSeq, a predicted model, not a curated record